This 1433-nucleotide ribosomal RNA is filed under the name Vibrio vulnificus. Its description in RNAcentral is "partial 23S ribosomal RNA". It matches the Rfam family "Bacterial large subunit ribosomal RNA", at positions 1394 to 2812 of the family's 2925-position model. The record is from RNAcentral. Lineage: Bacteria; Pseudomonadati; Pseudomonadota; Gammaproteobacteria; Vibrionales; Vibrionaceae.
AGGCGAGGCCGAAAGGCGUAGUCGAUGGGAAACGGGUUAAUAUUCCCGUACUUCUUACAAUUGCGAUGGGGGGACGGAGAAGGCUAGGUGGGCCUGGCGACGGUUGUCCAGGUUCAAGUGCGUAGGCUGAGUGUUUAGGUAAAUCCGGACACUCUUAAGGCUGAGACACGACGUCGAGCUACUACGGUAGUGAAGUCAUUGAUGCCAUGCUUCCAGGAAAAGCCUCUAAGCUUCAGAUUGUAAGGAAUCGUACCCCAAACCGACACAGGUGGUCGGGUAGAGAAUACCAAGGCGCUUGAGAGAACUCGGGUGAAGGAACUAGGCAAAAUGGUACCGUAACUUCGGGAGAAGGUACGCUCUUGAUGGUGAAGUCCCUUGCGGAUGGAGCUGACGAGAGUCGCAGAUACCAGGUGGCUGCAACUGUUUAUUAAAAACACAGCACUGUGCAAAAUCGUAAGAUGACGUAUACGGUGUGACGCCUGCCCGGUGCCGGAAGGUUAAUUGAUGGGGUUAGCGUAAGCGAAGCUCUUGAUCGAAGCCCCGGUAAACGGCGGCCGUAACUAUAACGGUCCUAAGGUAGCGAAAUUCCUUGUCGGGUAAGUUCCGACCUGCACGAAUGGCGUAAUGAUGGCCACGCUGUCUCCACCCGAGACUCAGUGAAAUUGAAAUCGCUGUGAAGAUGCAGUGUACCCGCGGCUAGACGGAAAGACCCCGUGAACCUUUACUACAGCUUGGCACUGAACAUUGAACCUACAUGUGUAGGAUAGGUGGGAGGCUUUGAAGACGUGACGCCAGUUACGUUGGAGCCGUCCUUGAAAUACCACCCUUGUAUGUUUGAUGUUCUAACGUUGGCCCCUAAUCGGGGUUGCGGACAGUGCCUGGUGGGUAGUUUGACUGGGGCGGUCUCCUCCCAAAGAGUAACGGAGGAGCACGAAGGUGGGCUAAUCACGGUUGGACAUCGUGAGGUUAGUGCAAUGGCAUAAGCCCGCUUAACUGCGAGAAUGACGGUUCGAGCAGGUGCGAAAGCAGGUCAUAGUGAUCCGGUGGUUCUGAAUGGAAGGGCCAUCGCUCAACGGAUAAAAGGUACUCCGGGGAUAACAGGCUGAUACCGCCCAAGAGUUCAUAUCGACGGCGGUGUUUGGCACCUCGAUGUCGGCUCAUCACAUCCUGGGGCUGAAGUCGGUCCCAAGGGUAUGGCUGUUCGCCAUUUAAAGUGGUACGCGAGCUGGGUUUAGAACGUCGUGAGACAGUUCGGUCCCUAUCUGCCGUGGGCGUUGGAAGAUUGAAGGGGGCUGCUCCUAGUACGAGAGGACCGGAGUGGACGAACCUCUGGUGUUCGGGUUGUGUCGCCAGACGCAUUGCCCGGUAGCUAAGUUCGGAAUCGAUAACCGCUGAAAGCAUCUAAGCGGGAAGCGAGCCCUGAGAUGAGUCUU